AACUUCGGGUGAUCGCGGUCUACUUUUGUAGGCUGAGGAAAGUCCAUGCCCGCACAAGCUGCGAUGCUUGUAGUGUUCGUGCUUAGCCCAAUAAGCUAAGGUACUGGGUAACCAGUAACGGCGGAGAACGUUGCUAAGGAGCAAUCUAUGCAAUUAAUAUCCUGAAAAGUGCCACAGUGACGAUACAGUUUGGAAACGAACUGUUUGGAACGGGUAAACCCCGCGAGCGAGUAACCCAAACUUAUGGUAGGGGCGCUCCAUGUAUGGAAAUGAACGACGCAUGGAGACAGAUCUAGUGUCUGUAGAUAGAUGAUUGCCCUCACUGGUUGUGUUCCUGAGCCAAUCAGUGAGACAAAACAUGGCUUACAGAG
Molecule: non-coding RNA, 371 nt
Rfam family: Bacterial RNase P class B
About the family: Ribonuclease P (RNase P) is a ubiquitous endoribonuclease, found in archaea, bacteria and eukarya as well as chloroplasts and mitochondria. Its best characterised activity is the generation of mature 5'-ends of tRNAs by cleaving the 5'-leader elements of precursor-tRNAs.
Source: Rfam